UACGUAGGGUGCGAGCGUUAAUCGGAAUUACUGGGCGUAAAGCGUGCGCAGGCGGUUCGCUAAGACCGAUGUGAAAUCCCCGGGCUUAACCUGGGAACUGCAUUGGUGACUGGCGGGCUAGAGUAUGGCAGAGGGGGGUAGAAUUCCACGUGUAGCAGUGAAAUGCGUAGAGAUGUGGAGGAAUACCGAUGGCGAAGGCAGCCCCCUGGGCCAAUACUGACGCUCAUGCACGAAAGCGUGGGGAGCAAACCGG
Molecule: ribosomal RNA, 253 nt
Filed under: uncultured bacterium
Lineage: Bacteria
Description: partial 16S ribosomal RNA
Rfam family: Bacterial small subunit ribosomal RNA
Source: RNAcentral